UGGGGAAUAUUGCACAAUGGGGGAAACCCUGAUGCAGCGACGCCGCGUGAGCGAUGAAGUAUUUCGGUAUGUAAAGCUCUAUCAGCAGGGAAGAAGAUGACGGUACCUGACUAAGAAGCCCCGGCUAACUACGUGCCAGCAGCCGCGGUAAUACGUAGGGGGCAAGCGUUAUCCGGAUUUACUGGGUGUAAAGGGAGCGUAGACGGCGGUGCAAGCCAGAUGUGAAAGCCCAGGGCUCAACCCCGGGACUGCAUUUGGAACUGUAUGGCUGGAGUGUCGGAGAGGCAGGCGGAAUUCCUAGUG
Molecule: ribosomal RNA, 303 nt
Filed under: uncultured bacterium
Lineage: Bacteria
Description: bacterial SSU rRNA
Rfam family: Bacterial small subunit ribosomal RNA
Source: RNAcentral